UCAAUAAGCGGAGGAAAAGAAACUAACAAGGAUUCCCCUAGUAGCGGCGAGCGAAGCGGGAAGAGCUCAAAUUUAUAAUCUGGCACUUUCAGUGUCCGAGUUGUAAUCUCUAGAAGUGUUUUCCGCGUUGGACCGCACACAAGUCUGUUGGAAUACAGCGGCACAGUGGUGACACCCCCGUACACGGUGCGGACGCCCAGCGCUUUGUGAUACACUUUCGAAGAGUCGAGUUGUUUGGGAAUGCAGCUCAAAUUGGGUGGUAAAUUCCAUCUAAAGCUAAAUAUUGGCGAGAGACCGAUAGCGAACAAGUACCGUGAGGGAAAGAUGAAAAGCACUUUGGAAAGAGAGUUAACAGUACGUGAAAUUGUUGGAAGGGAAACGCUUGAAGUCAGACUUGCUUGCCGGAGCUUGCUUCGGUUUGCAGGCCAGCAUCAGUUUUCCGGGGUGGAUAAUGGCGGUUAGAAGGUAGCAGCUUCAGCUGUGUUAUAGCUUUCCGCUGGAUACAUCCUGGGGGACUGAGGAACGCAGCGUGCUUUUAGCGGGGGUUUCGACCUCUUCACGCUUAGGAUGCUGGUGUAAUGGCUUUAAACGACCCGUCUU
Molecule: ribosomal RNA, 600 nt
Filed under: Rhodotorula paludigena
Lineage: Eukaryota; Fungi; Basidiomycota; Microbotryomycetes; Sporidiobolales; Sporidiobolaceae
Description: partial large subunit ribosomal RNA
Rfam family: Eukaryotic large subunit ribosomal RNA
Source: RNAcentral